This 468-nucleotide ribosomal RNA is filed under the name uncultured bacterium. RNAcentral describes it as "partial 16S ribosomal RNA". It matches the Rfam family "Bacterial small subunit ribosomal RNA", at positions 36 to 507 of the family's 1533-position model. The record is from RNAcentral.
GCCUCCCUCUUUCUUCGUGCUUAACACAUGCAAGUCGAACGGAAAGGCCCUGCUUUUGUGGGGUGCUCGAGUGGCGAACGGGUGAGUAACACGUGAGUAACCUGCCCUUGACUUGGGGAUAACUUCAGGAAACUGGGGCUAAUACCGGAUAGGAGCUCCUGCUGCAUGGUGGGGGUUGGAAAGUUUCGGCGGUUGGGGAUGGACUCGCGGCUUAUCAGCUUGUUGGUGGGGUAGUGGCUUACCAAGGCGUUGACGGGUAGCCGGCCUGAGAGGGUGACCGGCCACAUUGGGACUGAGAGAGGGCCCAGACUCCUACGGGAGGCAGCAGUGGGGAAUAUUGCACAAUGGGCGGAAGCCUGAUGCAGCAACGCCGCGUGCGGGAUGACGGCCUUCGGGUUGUAAACCGCUUUCGCCUGUGACGAAGCGUGAGUGACGGUAAUGGGUAAAGAAGCACCGGCUAACUACGUG